UCUGUAGGACUGCGGAGGAUCAUUAGCGCGCAGGCCGGAGGCUGGCCCCCCACGAUAGGGCCAAACGUCCGUCAGGGGUGAGCAGAUGUGCGCCGGCCGUACCGCCCCAUUCUUGUCUACAUUACUCGGUUGCCUCGGCGGGCCGCGCUCUCCCAGGAGAGCCGUUCGGCGAGCCUCUCUUUAGUGGCUAAACGCUGGACCGCGCCCGCCGGAGGACAGACGCAAAAAAAUUCUUUCAGAAGAGCUGUCAGUCUGAGCGUUAGCAAGCAAAAAUCAGUUAAAACUUUCAACAACGGAUCUCUUGGUUCCGGCAUCGAUGAAGAACGCAGCGAAAUGCGAUAAGUAAUGUGAAUUGCAGAAUUCCGUGAAUCAUCGAAUCUUUGAACGCACAUUGCGCCCCCUGGCAUUCCGGGGGGCAUGCCUGUUCGAGCGUCAUUUCAGCCCCUCAAGCCCGGCUUGUGUGAUGGACGACCGUCCGGCGCCCCCGUCUUUGGGGGUGCGGGACGCGCCCGAAAAGCAGUGGCCAGGCCGCGAUUCCGGCUUCCUAGGCGAAUGGGCAACAAACCAGCGCCUCCAGGACCGGCCGCCCUGGCCUCAAAAUCUGUUUUAUACUUAUCAGGUUGACCUCGGAUCAGGUAGGGAUACCCGCUGAACUUAAGCAUAUCAUAAGCCGGAGGAAAAAGAUGG
This 687-nucleotide ribosomal RNA is filed under the name Trichophyton interdigitale. Its description in RNAcentral is "eukaryotic LSU rRNA". The stretch from base 282 to 435 matches the Rfam family "5.8S ribosomal RNA". Lineage: Eukaryota; Fungi; Ascomycota; Eurotiomycetes; Onygenales; Arthrodermataceae. The record is from RNAcentral.